GGGGGGGGCGGUAAAAGUUUUAAGUUAUGCUUGUUUUUUUUUUUGGGGUAAAAAGCUAUACUUGGUUCAAACAACUUUCUAAUGCGAGACUGUUAACUAUUUUUGGCUUGUAGUUUAAUGGUAACUUUGACUUAAUUGAUAUUGUUCUGUAAAAAAUAAAUUGGGUUUCUUUUGAGAAAGUAAUGGUCUUUUUUAUUCGGAAGGUUUUAU
Molecule: long non-coding RNA, 210 nt
Filed under: Gossypium raimondii (Peruvian cotton)
Lineage: Eukaryota; Viridiplantae; Streptophyta; Magnoliopsida; Malvales; Malvaceae
Description: long non-coding RNA (GRAI_LNC006473)
Source: RNAcentral